CAGUCGAACGAAACUUCUUUAUCACCGAGUGCUUGCACUCACCGAUAAAGAGUUGAGUGGCGAACGGGUGAGUAACACGUGGGCAACCUGCCCAAAAGAGGGGGAUAACACUUGGAAACAGGUGCUAAUACCGCAUAACCAUAGUUACCGCAUGGUAACUAUGUAAAAGGUGGCUAUACUACCGCUUUUGGAUGGGCCCGCGGCGCAUUAGCUAGUUGGUAGGGUAAAGGCUUACCAAGGCAAUGAUGCGUAGCCGAAUUGAGAGGUUGAUCGGCCACAUUGGGACUGAGACACGGCCCAAACUCCUACGGGAGGCAGCAGUAGGGAAUCUUCCACAAUGGGCGAAAGCCUGAUGGAGCAACGCCGCGUGGGUGAAGAAGGUCUUCGGAUCGUAAAACCCUGUUGUUAGAGAAGAAAGUGCGUGAGAGUAACUGUUCACGUUUCGACGGUAUCUAACCAGAAAGCCACGGCUAACUACGUGCCAGCAGCCGCGGUAAUACGUAGGUGGCAAGCGUUAUCCGGAUUUAUUGGGCGUAAAGGGAACGCAGGCGGUCUUUUAAGUCUGAUGUGAAAGCCUUCGGCUUAACCGGAGUAGUGCAUUGGAAACUGGGAGACUUGAGUGCAGAAGAGGAGAGUGGAACUCCAUGUGUAGCGGUGAAAUGCGUAGAUAUAUGGAAGAACACCAGUGGCGAAAGCGGCUCUCUGGUCUGUAACUGACGCUGAGGUUCGAAAGCGUGGGUAGCAAACAGGAUUAGAUACCCUGGUAGUCCACGCCGUANACGAUGAAUGCUAAGUGUUGGAGGGUNUCCGCCCUUCAGUGCUGCAGCUAACGCAAUAAGCAUUCCGCCUGGGGAGUACGACCGCAAGGUUGAAACUCA
This 878-nucleotide ribosomal RNA is filed under the name uncultured bacterium. RNAcentral describes it as "bacterial SSU rRNA". It matches the Rfam family "Bacterial small subunit ribosomal RNA", at positions 59 to 903 of the family's 1533-position model. The record is from RNAcentral.